AGAGUUUGAUCCUGGCUCAGAACAAACGCUGGCGGCGUGCCUAAUACAUGCAAGUCGAACGGGGAAAGUAGCAAUACGAGUACUAGUGGCGCACGGGUGAGGAAUACAUGGGUAAUCUGCCCUCGAGCUCGGGAUAACCAGUCGAAAGACUGGCUAAUACCGGAUAUGACCACAAGAUCUGAGGAUCAAGGGGUAAAAGGUUUUUCGCUUGAGGAUGAGCCCAUGUGGGAUUAGCUAGUUGGUGUAGGUAACGGCUCACCAAGGCGACGAUCCCUAACUGGUCUUAGAGGAUGAUCAGUCACACUGGAACUGAGACACGGUCCAGACUCCUACGGGAGGCAGCAGUAGGGAAUAUUGCACAAUGGAGGAAACUCUGAUGCAGCGACGCCGCGUGAGUGAUGAAGGCCUUCGGGUCGUAAAGCUCUGUCGUAUGGGACUAACAAAAUGAAGGUACCAUGCAAGAAAGGAUCGGCUAACUUCGUG
RNAcentral lists this ribosomal RNA (483 nucleotides) under uncultured bacterium. RNAcentral's name for it is "bacterial SSU rRNA". It matches the Rfam family "Bacterial small subunit ribosomal RNA", at positions 8 to 507 of the family's 1533-position model. The record is from RNAcentral.